AUGCUUUUGUGGUCCCUAGGCAUGAUGAUUUCUUUUUUUUUUUUUUACCACUGUAAGAGACGUGUCUCCAUCAAACCUGCUAUGAGGUCAGCACAUUACCUGUUUGACA
This 109-nucleotide small nucleolar RNA is filed under the name Ictidomys tridecemlineatus (thirteen-lined ground squirrel). RNAcentral describes it as "Spermophilus tridecemlineatus (thirteen-lined ground squirrel) Small nucleolar RNA U13". It matches the Rfam family "Small nucleolar RNA U13". Lineage: Eukaryota; Metazoa; Chordata; Mammalia; Rodentia; Sciuridae. The record is from Rfam by way of RNAcentral.